GCUGGCGGCAGGCCUAAUACAUGCAAGUCGAACGAUAGAUGAGAGCUUGCUCUUAUCGAAAGUGGCGCACGGGUGCGUAACGCGUAUGCAACCUACCUUAAUCAGGGGGAUAGCCCGGAGAAAUCCGGAUUAACACCGCAUAAAAACACAGGAUAGCAUUAUCCAAUGUUCAAAUAUUUAUAGGAUUGAGAUGGGCAUGCGUGUCAUUAGCUAGUUGGCGGGGUAACGGCCCACCAAGGCGACGAUGACUAGGGGAUCUGAGAGGAUGACCCCCCACACUGGUACUGAGACACGGACCAGACUCCUACGGGAGGCAGCAGUAAGGAAUAUUGGUCAAUGGAGGCAACUCUGAACCAGCCAUGCCGCGUGCAGGAAGACUGCCCUAUGGGUUGUAAACUGCUUUUAUCCGGGAAUAAACCUCUUUACGAGUAGAGAGCUGAAUGUACCGGAAGAAUAAGGAUCGGCUAACUCCGUGCCAGCAGCCGCGGUAAUACGGAGGAUCCAAGCGUUAUCCGGAUUUAUUGGGUUUAAAGGGUGCGUAGGCGGCCUGUUAAGUCAGGGGUGAAAGACGGUAGCUCAACUAUCGCAGUGCCCUUGAUACUGAUGGGCUUGAAUGGACUAGAGGUAGGCGGAAUGAGACAAGUAGCGGUGAAAUGCAUAGAUAUGUCUCAGAACACCGAUUGCGAAGGCAGCUUACUAUGGUCUUAUUGACGCUGAGGCACGAAAGCGUGGGGAUCAAACAGGAUUAGAUACCCUGGUAGUCCACGCCCUAAACGAUGAACACUCGCUGUUGGCGAUACACAGUCAGCGGCUAAGCGAAAGCGUUAAGUGUUCCACCUGGGGAGUACGGUCGCAAGAUUGAAACUCAAAGGAAUUGACGGGGGCCCGCACAAGCGGAGGAGCAUGUGGUUUAAUUCGAUGAUACGCGAGGAACCUUAC
This 939-nucleotide ribosomal RNA is filed under the name Pedobacter alluvionis. Its description in RNAcentral is "bacterial SSU rRNA". It matches the Rfam family "Bacterial small subunit ribosomal RNA", at positions 35 to 974 of the family's 1533-position model. Lineage: Bacteria; Pseudomonadati; Bacteroidota; Sphingobacteriia; Sphingobacteriales; Sphingobacteriaceae. The record is from RNAcentral.